This 440-nucleotide ribosomal RNA is filed under the name uncultured bacterium. Its description in RNAcentral is "partial 16S ribosomal RNA". It matches the Rfam family "Bacterial small subunit ribosomal RNA", at positions 338 to 795 of the family's 1533-position model. The record is from RNAcentral.
CCUACGGGAGGCUGCAGUGGGGAAUCUUGCACAAUGGGGGAAACCCUGAUGCAGCGACGCCGCGUGCGUGAAGAAGUAAUUCGUUAUGUAAAGCUCUAUCAGCAGGGAAGAAAAUGACGGUACCUGAGUAAGAAGCACCGGCUAACUACGUGCCAGCAGCCGCGGUAAUACGUAGGGGGCAAGCGUUAUCCGGAUUUACUGGGUGUAAAGGGUGCGUAGACGGCAGUGCAAGUCUGGAGUGAAAGUCGGGGGCUCAACCCCCGGACUGUUCGGGAAACUGUACGGCUGGAGUGCAGGAGAGGUAAGUGGAAUUUCUAGUGUAGGGGUGAAAUGCGUAGAUAUUAGGAGGAACACCAGUGGCGAAGGCAGGUUACUGGACUGUAACUGACGUUGAGGCUCGAAAGCGUGGGGAGCAAACAGGAUUAGAUACCCGUGUAGUC